CCUACCCUUGACAUGUCAGGAAGUCCGCAGAGAUGUGGAUGUGCUCGAAAGAGAACCUGAACACAGGUGCUGCAUGGCUGUCGUCAGCUCGUGUCGUGAGAUGUUGGGUUAAGUCCCGCAACGAGCGCAACCCUUGUCAUUAGUUGCUACGAAAGGGCACUCUAAUGAGACUGCCGGUGACAAACCGGAGGAAGGUGGGGAUGACGUCAAGUCCUCAUGGCCCUUAUGGGUAGGGCUUCACACGUCAUACAAUGGUCGGUACAGAGGGCUGCCAACCCGCGAGGGGGAGCUAAUCCUUUAAAACCGAUCGUAGUCCGGAUUGUAGUCUGCAACUCGACUGCAUGAAGUCGGAAUCGCUAGUAAUCGCGGAUC
RNAcentral lists this ribosomal RNA (372 nucleotides) under uncultured bacterium. RNAcentral's name for it is "bacterial SSU rRNA". It matches the Rfam family "Bacterial small subunit ribosomal RNA", at positions 974 to 1350 of the family's 1533-position model. The record is from RNAcentral.